Pelobates cultripes (western spadefoot toad) is the source of this 156-nucleotide non-coding RNA. Lineage: Eukaryota; Metazoa; Chordata; Amphibia; Anura; Pelobatidae. The record is from the annotation of a GenBank genome assembly.
GCAGACACAUUCCAGCCAAUCAGCAGCAGACCCUCCCUCCCAGACCCUCCCACCUCCUGGACAGCAUCCAUUUUGAAGCUGCAUUCUUAGUGAGCUGUCCAGGAGGUGGGAGGGUCUGGGAGGGAGGGUCUGCUGCUGCUUGGCUUAAAUGUGUCU